Cygnus olor (mute swan) is the source of this 323-nucleotide long non-coding RNA. RefSeq lists it as uncharacterized. The transcript has 3 exons. The record is from RefSeq and is a predicted model, not a curated record. NCBI's taxonomy places the organism in Eukaryota, Metazoa, Chordata, Aves, Anseriformes, Anatidae.
ACUUAGGCAAGCUUUUCUUACUCGGGUUCAGGCUUGUUCAUCUUCUGAGAGUCACCGUGAGCUCCUGCUGCCUGGUCCCUGCUCCCUGGCCCCGCACUGACCCAGACUUGCCUCUCCUGAUGCCCCUCCUUGGGAAGCACACCAGUGGAAAUAUGGGAAAGGGUUAUCAAAUCCUGUGCUUAGCAUCUGAACUUGCCUCUCAACAGGGGGAGUAGUGUUUCUCUUCCAAGCCCUGUGAUGAUUGCUCAGAUACAGCCAUGAAAGGAGUGGUGUGACUGGAAUGGGAGUUGAUCUUCUGAAUGUAAACAGUAAAUAUAUAUUUU